CGCGGGGCGGACGGCGGGCGAUGGGCGAGGGCGCGCUGGCCCCGGGCCUGCAGCUGCUGCUCCGUGCCUGCGAGCAGGGUGACACCGACACAGCACGGCGCCUGCUGGAGCCAGGCGCGGAGCCCGUCGCGGGGCCGGAGGCGGGAGCGGAGCCGGCAGGGCCCGAGGCGGCCCGGGCAGCGGAGGCCGGGGCGCCGGUGCCGGUGGACUGCUCGGAUGAAGCGGGCAACUCGGCGCUGCAACUGGCUGCGGCCGGUGGCCACGAGCCACUCGUGAGGUUCCUGCUGCGCCGCGGAGCCUCGGUCAACAGCCGCAACCACUACGGCUGGAGCGCGCUCAUGCAGGCGGCCAGAUGUGGACAUGCGAGUGUGGCAAACCUCCUUUUGGAUCACGGAGCUGAUGUCAAUGCUCAGAAUCGUCUGGGCGCCAGUGUGCUCACGGUGGCUUCUCGGGGUGGCCACCUGGGUGUGGUGAAGCUGCUGCUAGAGUCGGGUGCCAUCGUGGACCAUCACAACCCUUCUGGAGAGUCACCAGCAACUGGAGGCAGCAGAGACGAACUGCUGGGCAUCACAGCCCUGAUGGCCGCCGUCCAACAUGGUCACGAGGCUGUGGUACGCCUGCUGAUGGAGUGGGGUGCGGACCCCAACCACACAGCCCGGACGGUGGGCUGGAGCCCUCUGAUGCUGGCAGCCCUCCUUGGGAAGCUCAGUGUGGUGCAGCAACUGGUUGAGAAGGGAGCCAACCCCGACCACCUUGGCGUGCUGGAGAAGACGGCCUUUGAGGUUGCCCUUGACCGGAAGUACAGGGAUCUGGCUGACUACCUGGACCCACUGACCACUGUCAGGCCGAAAACAGAUGAGGAGAAGAGGCGACCAGAUAUCUUCCACGCCCUGAAGAUGGGAAACUUCCAGCUGGUCAAGGAGAUUGCUGAUGAAGACCCCAACCACGUGAACCUGGUCAACGGGGACGGGGCAACUCCGCUGAUGCUGGCUGCUGUCACAGGGCAGUUGCCCCUGGUACAGCUGCUGGUGGAGAAGCACGCAGACAUGGACAAGCAGGACAGCGCGCAUGGCUGGACGGCCCUCAUGCAGGCCACCUACCAUGGAAAUAAAGAAAUUGUAAAGUAUCUGCUAAAUCAAGGGGCUGAUGUUACUCUUCGAGCCAAAAACGGGUACACAGCCUUUGACCUGGUGAUGCUGCUGAAUGAUCCUGACACAGAACUUGUUCGACUGCUGGCGUCUGUGUGCAUGCAGGUGAAUAAGGCCCGAGGUCGGCCCAGCCACCGGCCACCCCUGCCCCACUCGAAGGCCAGGCAACCCUGGAGCGUCCCUGUGCUGCCUGAUGACAAGGGAGGCCUGAAGUCCUGGUGGAGCCGGAUGUCCAACAGGUUCCGAAAGCUCAAACUUAUGCAGACACUGCCACGUGGGCUGGCUGCCAACCAACCUUUGCCUUUCUCGGACGAGCCUGAGCUGGCGCUGGACUCCACCAUGCGGGCACCCCCCCAGGACAGGACAAGUCACCUUGGGCCACCUGAAGUAGCCCAUGCAACCAAAGACAGUGGUCCUGGGAACCCAAGAAGAGAGAAGGAAGAUGUGUUACUGACAACCAUGCUGCGAAACGGAGCUCCCUUCCCCCGGCUCCCCAGUGACAAGCUGAAGGCCGUCAUCCCACCCUUCCUGCCCCCGUCCAGCUUUGAGCUGUGGAGCUCUGACAGGUCCCGCACAUGCCACAAUGGGAAGGCAGACCCCACGAAGACUGUGCUGCCCCCAAGAGCCAGCAGGGCCCACCCUGUGGGCUGCGUGGGCACAGACAGUGCUGCUGGCAGGCCAGUCAAAUUCCCCAGCAUCUCCAGAAGCCCUACAUCCCCUGCCAGCUCUGGGAGCUUCAACCACUCGCCUCAUUCUUCAGGGGGUGCCAGUGGCGUUGGCAGCAUGAGUCGGCUGGGUGGAGAGCUGCAUAGCCGCUCAGGUGGCAGUGUAGACAGUGUCCUGUCCCAGAUCGCUGCUCAGCGGAAAAAAGCAGCUGGCUUGUGUGAGCAGAAGCCCCGCCAGCAGUCCAGUCCCAUGGGGCCAGCGACUGGUUCCAGCCCGCCUGAUCUCCCAGCCUCCCUCCUGGGCAGUGGUAGUGGUUCUUCCAGUGGCACUUCCAGCAGCAAGAAACUGGACCCCAGCAAACGCCCUCCCUCUGGAGCUUCUGCUACCUCUAAAAGCACCUCCCCCACCCUCACGCCCUCCCCGUCUCCCAAGGGCCACACUGCAGAGUCCUCGGUGUCCUCCUCCUCAUCUCACCGGCAGUCUAAGAGCAGUGGGGGCUCCAGCAGUGGCACCAUCACCGAUGAGGAUGAGCUGACUGGAAUCCUUAAGAAGUUAUCGCUUGAGAAAUACCAGCCCAUCUUCGAGGAACAAGAGAGCUUUCCUUGUUUCCAAGAGCCGUUUCCUGAUUCCUGGCUGCUGUCUGCUCUUCGUUGAGGUGUCCACAGAACAUGUCUCAGAGUGUACCUCGCUUCUAUUUCGUGAGCUGUGUGCCCUUAUCCCCAAAGUCUAGUGUGGCUCUGAAGCCCUACGCCAUCACCACCGCCUGUGUGUGGACAUGGAAGCCUUCCUCACACUCACAGACGGUGACCUGCAAGAGUUGGGGAUUAAGACAGAUGGUUCCCGGCAGCAGAUCCUGGCAGCCAUCUCCGAGCUGAAUGCGGGCAAGGGGCGUGAGAGGCAGAUUCUACAGGAAACCAUUCACAACUUCCACUCUUCCUUUGAGAGCAGUGCCAGCAACACCAGAGCUCCUGGCAACAGUCCCUGUACGUGAGCCUCUAUGCUCUGACCUCAGUCCAUGGCCGGAUGGGUAAGGCCAGAAGAAACAGUGUCUAGCAGGAGGUAACUGCAGCUUUGGUGGCUCCGCCAGCCUCAGAGGCCUGAGGCAUUGAGGGUUGAGCAGUGCAUCCCUGCCUUUCCACGGUGUCUGCUCCUGGGUUAUUUCUUCACUGGGACUCACAGCAAGUGGACAGAAAGAAGGCCGGCUAGCCAAAUCAUCAGAGCUGAUGUAGUGGGCAAGGGCCUGGGAAGUCCUCCUUUCUGCUUCUGCCUCGCAGAAGCCUGAGAACAUAUAGGCCAUGCUGGAGGCCUCACAGCUGCAGAUAGAAACCCUAACCUGUACGUGCAAGUACGUGCUGCCCUCAAGGCCUGGAACUGUUCCAGAAAAGAUGCUACACAUAGAUGAGCCCCUGCAGAGGGUGGCUGUUCAUUUGAAGCAAUCACCAACGGGUCCUGUUCACAUGUGAGGAAGCUUGAUGCUGUCCCUAACGAAGUUGGUCCCUGAUUCCGCAGACGGCUAAGGAGAGGUGCCAAGACCCUCGGGAGUUUCCUGCUCACACGCAGCCUCCAGAGGACUGGCCGGGCUCCCCACUGCUCUUGACACACCCAUGACUGUAGUACAGCUGCACACAAGUGACGUGAGGGUGCAGGAGGGAGCUGUGGUGAAGACCCACAUGAGGAGAGCACCAAGCCCACCCGCUUCACUUGUCUUCAGCUCCUCUCGUUCCACUGGGCUUCCUUCAUGUGGCCAAAACCACACCAGCUGCAGUCCAGAGCCCUGCCUCUGAGUGGAGCUGCCUUACCUCAGAGCAGGGUCCUGUUUCCUGUGCAAGCCUUCCCUCUAAGUCCAGCAGACAGGGCCCCAGUCAUCUCCAUCAGGAUACCCAAUGGCAGGACUAGAAUGUGACCUUGUCACACAGUUCACACUGGGGUGGCUCCCCAAUCGUCAGAGACCACAGAGCCAUCUUGCUUCAGCCCUGCCGUUGGUUUUCGUUUUUCUCAGAUCAAUUGCAGCAUUCUUUCUACACAGGGACUAGAUUCAUAGAAAGAUUUUUGCUUGCCAGACUACAUCUAUUAAAAAUGGGGAAUGUGUCCCCUGUCUUUGUGCUCUU
Grammomys surdaster is the source of this 3922-nucleotide RNA transcript. It is a transcript of the gene named ankyrin repeat and sterile alpha motif domain containing 6, with no coding region annotated. The record is from RefSeq and is a predicted model, not a curated record. NCBI's taxonomy places the organism in Eukaryota, Metazoa, Chordata, Mammalia, Rodentia, Muridae. The transcript is spliced from 17 exons.